CGGGAUUAAUAAAGUGUUCUGAUUCUGAUUCUGAUUCAAAAGUAUUUUGGAAUUGGAAUAAUGUAUUUUGUAACUGCAGUACACACAAUACUAAUUUUAAACAAUUUUGUCCAGGUUCCUUGCCACCGGGGACUCCUUCAGGACCAUCGCAUUCAGUUUUCGAGUCGGUGUGUCCACAGUGAGCCAUAUCAUCCCCCAGGUAGCGACGGCCAUCUAGGACUGUCUAGUGGAUGAUUUCAUGGCUUUGCCUUCAACUGCAGACUGGCGGUCCAUCACAGAGGGAUUCCAGGAGCGCUGGAACUUCCCUCUCUCCCUCACAGUGGAGGUUGUAUCUGCGCUCCAUGGAGCUCCGUCCUGCUGUGGUGGAGCCGUUGCAAGGCCUGGGUCGUGUAGUAGCGAACAACUCCUCCAGAGAGGCUGUCCUGGUGAGGGAGAAGUUCAUGGCCCACUUCUCGGCGGAGGGAGCUGUGUCUUGGCAACCAAAGGAGUAGCCUGUUUGUUUUUUUGUUUUUUUUUCUGUGUCCCGUUUGGAUCUUUAGCCAUCAGAAUUGUUGUCUUAAGGCCAAGAAAGAUGCCAAGCGGAUUUAUUUUACCAAGUGGAUCAUCAUGGCCUUGCCAUAUUGGUCCAUUUGAUUGACCUUUAUUAUAAUUAUGAAUUUAUUUUAUUUUCAGUUGCUACAAACGGGACAGACAUGACUGGGGGAUAGGACAGGGAGAAAGAAUGAAAGAAAGAGAGGGAGAGAAAGAAAACCAAAGGGGAGAAGAGACGGUGAGAAGGGGGGGAAGAAAGAAAAAAACAAACAAACAAAAAAACAAAACACCUGGGUCACCUGUAUGGAGAAAAAAAACAGAAGAGAAAGCAAACAACAAAGAGCAACAUAAUAAAAAAAACAGCACCAUCACAAUAAACUAGCUAGCAGUAGAUAUCAGUAGAUACUAAAUAAUAAACGAUAUUGUGCAGCACAUAAGAUAGACAGCGCGCAAUGUGCUUUGAGGCAGCAGCCAAGAAAGCUGUAGUCUGCGUCUGUGAAUACCCGUGUGUACACCUGUGUGGAUCAGCAUGCUUGCAUUCCAAAGGUUUCUCCAUGUAACGAUCUGCUAGGGAGUGUGGGGAGCCUCAGCCCCGUCCACCAGGAUAUGAAGCAGGUAUGGAGGAGAUCAAAACUCCAGGCAUCCAGAGGCCCCCAGAACACAAGAGACCAAGGAAAACCAACAGAGGAGCAGCCGCGCCACUGUCCCAGAAAGAGCUGAGGAGAGUCCCAGAUGAGGGCUCACUCAGCAGCCGCGGAGCAGAAGCCAGGGGGAGUUGCAGUGACGCGCCCGUGAGCUCCGCCGGCAGCCAGCUGUGCCUGAGUGACCAAGCCCCAGGCCGAGAGGCCGGGGGCACCCCACCUCCGAAGUGGCCCGAGCGAGCCCCAGGCUCCAGGCCCCGAUAAGCGGCCGCCAAGGAGUGAGCCGGUGUGUACCUGGACGCCCACCCCCAGACACAAAGAACCACCAACGCACCGACACCUGAGGGAGUCCGCC
Astatotilapia calliptera (eastern happy) is the source of this 1527-nucleotide long non-coding RNA. Lineage: Eukaryota; Metazoa; Chordata; Actinopteri; Cichliformes; Cichlidae. The record is from Ensembl.